RNAcentral lists this ribosomal RNA (253 nucleotides) under uncultured bacterium. Its description in RNAcentral is "partial 16S ribosomal RNA". It matches the Rfam family "Bacterial small subunit ribosomal RNA", at positions 524 to 776 of the family's 1533-position model. The record is from RNAcentral.
UACGUAGGGGGCAGGCGUUGUCCGGAAUUAUUGGGCGUAAAGAGCGUGUAGGCGGUCCGGUAAGUCAGCUGUGAAAGUCAAGGGCUCAACCCUUGAAAGCCGGUUGAUACUGUCGGGCUAGAGUCCGGAAGAGGCGAGUGGAAUUCCCGGUGUAGCGGUGAAAUGCGCAGAUAUCGGGAGGAACACCAAUGGCGAAGGCAGCUCGCUGGGACGGUACUGACGCUGAGACGCGAAAGCGUGGGGAGCAAACAGG